This 330-nucleotide unclassified non-coding RNA is filed under the name soil metagenome. RNAcentral's name for it is "partial contains 5.8S ribosomal RNA, internal transcribed spacer 2, and large subunit ribosomal RNA". The stretch from base 1 to 120 matches the Rfam family "5.8S ribosomal RNA", at positions 35 to 154 of the family's 154-position model. The record is from RNAcentral.
GAUGAAGAACGUAGCGAAAUGCGAUAAGUAAUGUGAAUUGCAGAAUUCAGUGAAUCAUCGAAUCUUUGAACGCACAUUGCGCCCUCUGGUAUUCCGGGGGGCAUGCCUGUUCGAGCGUCAUUACAACCCUCAAGCUUUGCUUGGUAUUGGACAUUGCCAGUUUCUGGCAGGCCUUAAAAUCAGUGGCGGUGCCAUUUGGCUUCAAGCGUAGUAAUUCUUCUCGCUUUGGAGAUCCAAGUGGUUACUUGCCAAUAACCCCCAAUUUUUUCAGGUUGACCUCGGAUCAGGUAGGGAUACCCGCUGAACUUAAGUAUAUCAAUAAGCGGAGGA